This 23-nucleotide non-coding RNA is filed under the name Arabidopsis thaliana (thale cress). The record is from RNAcentral. Lineage: Eukaryota; Viridiplantae; Streptophyta; Magnoliopsida; Brassicales; Brassicaceae.
CGGUCAAUCUACGUCUUUGGAGU